Molecule: non-coding RNA, 224 nt
Organism: Pelobates cultripes (western spadefoot toad)
Lineage: Eukaryota; Metazoa; Chordata; Amphibia; Anura; Pelobatidae
Source: the annotation of a GenBank genome assembly
CUGUGAACUGGCAUUGAGACUUAUAGUUCAUUUGACUUCUGUUUUGUUAUGACAUGACAAAUAAUGUCUCCACUUUAUGUCCGUGACCUAAUCCUUGAUUAUGUAACAUGUAAGCAGGAUUGAAUUUUGGGCCUUAGCCAUGGUUCAGGGAAACUCUUAAUUACAUUUACAAUACCAUAUAAUUUCUCAGAUUUUUUCCAUUUGCAAUUAGCAUCACACUGUAU